This is a non-coding RNA of Arenimonas malthae CC-JY-1, 117 nucleotides long. The record is from Rfam. NCBI's taxonomy places the organism in Bacteria, Pseudomonadati, Pseudomonadota, Gammaproteobacteria, Lysobacterales, Lysobacteraceae.
GGCGUUUUUUGCCCAGGCGGAGCUCGACCGCCGGUACAAGUCCUGAAGGACUUCAUCGACCAGAACCGAGACGCCUACGGGGUCGAGCCGAUCUGCAAGGUGCUGCCGAUCGCCCCG